GCGAGCGAACAGGGAAAAGCCCAGCGCCGAAUCUCUUGCCCCCCGGGUAAGAAGACAUGUGGCGUUUGGGACGAGGCUUUGCCUGUGCAGAAUGGUCUUCUAAGUCCCUCUUGAACGGGGCCAUAGCCCAUGGAGGGUGCUAGGCCCGUAUGAAGACUUUAUUGUGCAGUGCGUCUCGUCCGUAGAGUCGGGUUGCUUGGGAGUGCAGCCCAAAUCAGGUGGUAAACUCCAUCUAAGGCUAAAUAUGACCACGAGACCGAUAGCGAACAAGUACCGUGAGGGAAAGUUGAAAAGAACUUUGAAGAGAGAGUUAAAAAGUACGUGAAACCUCUCGGGGGUAAGCGGGCAGAACUUGCAAGUAUUGGCUGGGAACAUUCAGGCUUAGUGUUGGUGGCUUAUGGUGCACGUUAUGUGACUCUCUCGGGAGAAGCUGGCGUGUGUCGUUUGGUCUGCUGACAAUGCGCCGCAUUUGUUCCUGUCAUCGGGUUGCAUGCGACUAAAUUUUGGUAGUUUAGGUACCGGGGUCCUGAAAAUCCUUGUGGUUUUAGUUCCGGUUGCCAACUACUAUUGUGGUCGUUGAAAUAACGAGCAGGCGUAUUUAUCGCGCUCAGUGAUUUUUGAGAGUAAUGCGCUUGUGGUAUGUGCACGGGUAACCAUAACGUGUUGUAUGUAUCUGCUGUCAGCGAGACUCCUUUGGCUCUGUUCAUAUAUUGCUAUCUAAAGCAUGCGUGCUCUGUCUGUCGCGUCUUAAAA
RNAcentral lists this ribosomal RNA (753 nucleotides) under Entomobrya huangi. RNAcentral describes it as "eukaryotic LSU rRNA". It matches the Rfam family "Eukaryotic large subunit ribosomal RNA", at positions 89 to 659 of the family's 3401-position model. The record is from RNAcentral. Lineage: Eukaryota; Metazoa; Arthropoda; Collembola; Entomobryomorpha; Entomobryidae.